CAACUCGAGUGCAUGAAGCUGGAAUCGCUAGUAAUCGCGGAUCAGAAUGCCGCGGUGAAUACGUUCCCGGGUCUUGUACACACCGCCCGUCACACCAUGGGAGUCGGGAAUGCCCGAAGCCGGUGGCCCGAUCGAAAGAAGGGAGCCGUCGAAGGCAGGCCGGAUGACUGGGGUGAAGUCGUAACAAGGUAAC
This 193-nucleotide ribosomal RNA is filed under the name uncultured bacterium. RNAcentral describes it as "partial 16S ribosomal RNA". It matches the Rfam family "Bacterial small subunit ribosomal RNA", at positions 1308 to 1500 of the family's 1533-position model. The record is from RNAcentral.